Molecule: long non-coding RNA, 1619 nt
Filed under: Vitis vinifera (wine grape)
Lineage: Eukaryota; Viridiplantae; Streptophyta; Magnoliopsida; Vitales; Vitaceae
Description: long non-coding RNA (VVIN_LNC000097)
Source: RNAcentral
UAGAAUCUGGUGGAGGAGCUCCAUAAUUUCAGUAGGAAAUAGAAAUUUUCUUAUUGAUGAAGUAAAAACUUGGCCAGAAUUUGUUUAAUAGUACCAUGACACCCUUUCUGUAAGCGGAAUUUCACAAUGGAAACAGACAAUCCUUAUAAAAAUUAGUACUAGGAAAAAUUACAAAAUACGACCGCCACUUAAAAAUUACUUGGAAUAAUACCAAAAACCAAUGCCAAUGGGAAACAAACAAAUAAAUCUACGAACCAAAACUUGCCGACUUAAAAUUUGAAAACUCGCACUAAUAAUUACUUGAUAAGACUGUCUCCUAUUUCCAGGUCCUCAAAGUAGUCGGCCGCUGGCUGGUUUUUGUAUUGAGCUGAGCUGGUUGCGGUGGUAGUAGCGUUCAGCUCCAAAACCAGGACACUAAUGAAUUGAAAGGCAGAUUUUGUGAAAAUGGGGAUCAUGGUGUUGACAAAAUAUGAAGAGAGGGAGAAAGAAAAUUUGGAAUCGGCUUUCAAUUAUGUUGAUAGCCGUUGAUAAAUCAAAAUUCAUCCUUAUCCAAAGAAAGACUAGUAAUAAUGGAAUGGCUAAAAUAAUUCUCAUGGACAAAGGUCACACUCAAAACUAUAUCACCACGUGAGAUGUUGUGACCCACUUGAUCUUAACUGAGAUUUCGUAGCCGAAGAUCCUGGGCUGUGUCUGGGGCCUGUCCUUGAGUUGAGACAGCUUCGAGAUAUGGCACUACCACAGCCACCAAUUUUCCCUAUAAUCCUAGCAAACUUCAAUACCUAAAUGUAUAAAUCAAUUCGGCAGAAAAUAAUAAUAAUAAUAAAUAAAUAAAAAGAAAGGCAGUAUAAAGCGAAAUGCUUAAUUCUAGGAUUGGAAAUGACGUGCUCUCUCAGACAUCCUGAAUCCUUCUUGGAAUUGAGAGGAAGCGGAAUUGCAUUUUUUAUUUUUUUUUGGAUACGAGCUACGCAAGUCACGUUGGGUUUACAGAGACACGGAUGGUACCCAUCAGAACGACAUGUCAGUCCCUCUCAAAAUUCCCAAGAAAGCAAAAAACGAAAAUUCCAAUUAAGAGAAAAACAAUCCAAAACAAACAAAUCCCACCAGGCCACCACCUUCAAUAAGAUGGGGGGAGUUUAAAGGAAAGCGAUGGGGUCGUGUGGGAAGCGGAGAUGGAUAUAUAGCAUAUCUCACCUCUGGGAUUCUACUGUUCCUCGUUGUAUUUUUUUGGUUGCAAUGACUGUAUAGAUUCCCAACUUUGGCUUCAGUCCUUCGGAAUGCCAACAAAAUUACACCAGACAAGGGCUUCAGGUAUCAGUCCAUUAACAGUGCCUCUUACUCCCCCUCUCUCUUUCUAUCACAUUAUGAAAUUAUUGAGGCACUCCCACACUCUUCCUUUUGACUUGACCACUUGACUAUCCAAAACCUUUGUAUCCAUCUCUUCCUUUCUGUAUUCCUCCCUCUUUUGCAAUUAUGAAUUGCCCAGUCUCCAUGAACAAAGCAGAACAAAACAAAAAGAAAAACCAUUCUUCAGAACCCACCAGCUUUGUGAAGCACCUGCUCAUCAUACCAUACCAACAACUCUCCCAACAUACACACAAAAACCUCAACUUUUAGGUGAU